This 460-nucleotide ribosomal RNA is filed under the name uncultured bacterium. RNAcentral's name for it is "partial 16S ribosomal RNA". It matches the Rfam family "Bacterial small subunit ribosomal RNA", at positions 338 to 795 of the family's 1533-position model. The record is from RNAcentral.
CCUACGGGAGGCAGCAGUGAGGAAUAUUGGUCAAUGGCCGUAAGGCUGAACCAGCCAAGUAGCGUGAGGGAAGACUGCCCUAUGGGUUGUAAACCUCUUUUAUGCGUGGAUAAAGGUGUCCACGUGUGGCUGUUUGCAGGUACCGCAUGAAUAAGGACCGGCUAAUUCCGUGCCAGCAGCCGCGGUAAUACGGAAGGUCCGGGCGUUAUCCGGGUUUAUUGGGGUUAAAGGGGGCGUAGGCCGGUCCUUAAGGGUGCCGGGAAAUUUUGUGGCUCAACCAUGAGAGUGCGGCGGAAACUGGAGACCUUGAGUGCGCGAGAGGCAGGCGGAAUGCGUGGUGUAGCGGUGAAAUGCAUAGAUAUCACGAAGAACCCCGAUUGCGAAGGCAGCCUGCCGCCGCGUUACUGACGCUGAAGCACGAAAGCGCGGGUAUCGAACAGGAUUAGAUACCCUAGUAGUC